Molecule: ribosomal RNA, 482 nt
Filed under: uncultured bacterium
Lineage: Bacteria
Description: bacterial SSU rRNA
Rfam family: Bacterial small subunit ribosomal RNA
Source: RNAcentral
UGAACGCUAGCGGCAGGCUUAAUACAUGCAAGUCGUGGGGCAGCAUAAGUAGCAAUACUUGAUGGCGACCGGCAAACGGGUGAGGAACACGUACACAACCUUCCUUCAAGCGGGGAAUAGCCCAGAGAAAUUUAGAUUAAUACCCCAUAAUAUAUUGAUAAGGCAUCUUAUUAAUAUUAAAGCUUCGGCACUUGAUGAUGGGUGUGCGGCUGAUUAGAUAGUUGGCGGGGUAACGGCCCACCAAGUCUACGAUCAGUAGCUGAUGUGAGAGCAUGAUCAGCCACACGGGCACUGAGACACGGGCCCGACUCCUACGGGAGGCAGCAGUAAGGAAUAUUGGACAAUGGACGAAAGUCUGAUCCAGCCAUGCCGCGUGAAGGAUUAAGGUCCUCUGGAUUGUAAACUUCUUUUAUAUGGGACGAAAAAAGGGCAUUCUUGUUCACUUGACGGUACCAUAUGAAUAAGCACCGGCUAACUCCGUG